RNAcentral lists this ribosomal RNA (430 nucleotides) under bacterium. Its description in RNAcentral is "partial 16S ribosomal RNA". It matches the Rfam family "Bacterial small subunit ribosomal RNA", at positions 355 to 776 of the family's 1533-position model. The record is from RNAcentral.
UGGGGAAUAUUGGACAAUGGGCGCAAGCCUGAUCCAGCCAUGCCGCGUGUGUGAAGAAGGCCUUUUGGUUGUAAAGCACUUUAAGCGAGGAGGAGGCUACUUGGAUUAAUACUCUAGGAUAGUGGACGUUACUCGCAGAAUAAGCACCGGCUAACUCUGUGCCAGCAGCCGCGGUAAUACAGAGGGUGCGAGCGUUAAUCGGAUUUACUGGGCGUAAAGCGUGCGUAGGCGGCUUCUUAAGUCGGAUGUGAAAUCCCUGAGCUUAACUUAGGAAUUGCAUUCGAUACUGGGAAGCUAGAGUAUGGGAGAGGAUGGUAGAAUUCCAGGUGUAGCGGUGAAAUGCGUAGAGAUCUGGAGGAAUACCGAUGGCGAAGGCAGCCAUCUGGCCUAAUACUGACGCUGAGGUACGAAAGCAUGGGGAGCAGACAGG